This 117-nucleotide small nuclear RNA is filed under the name Zalophus californianus (California sea lion). RNAcentral's name for it is "U2 spliceosomal RNA (ENSZCAG00015023910.1)". It matches the Rfam family "U2 spliceosomal RNA". From Rfam's summary of the family: U2 is a small nuclear RNA (snRNA) component of the spliceosome (involved in pre-mRNA splicing). Complementary binding between U2 snRNA (in an area lying towards the 5' end but 3' to hairpin I) and the branchpoint sequence (BPS) of the intron results the bulging out of an unpaired adenosine, on the BPS, which initiates a nucleophilic attack at the intronic 5' splice site, thus starting the first of two transesterification reactions that mediate splicing. Lineage: Eukaryota; Metazoa; Chordata; Mammalia; Carnivora; Otariidae. The record is from RNAcentral.
AUCGUUUCUCGGCCUUUUGGCUAAGAUCAAGUGUAGUAUCUGUUCUUAUCAGUUUAAUCAGCUAUGUGUAUAAGUUGUAAAGCAUAAAAACAUGCAUGGAAAAGAUAAAGGCCCAAU